GGAGCUGUGCCUGAAGUAAAGGACCACUUUGAUAGAGUGAACCAUGGGGGUUAAAAUCCCCCCAACUCCU
Molecule: transfer RNA, 70 nt
Filed under: Platax orbicularis (orbicular batfish)
Lineage: Eukaryota; Metazoa; Chordata; Actinopteri; Ephippiformes; Ephippidae
Description: tRNA-Ile
Rfam family: tRNA
About the family: Transfer RNA (tRNA) molecules are approximately 80 nucleotides in length. Their secondary structure includes four short double-helical elements and three loops (D, anti-codon, and T loops). Further hydrogen bonds mediate the characteristic L-shaped molecular structure. tRNAs have two regions of fundamental functional importance: the anti-codon, which is responsible for specific mRNA codon recognition, and the 3' end, to which the tRNAs corresponding amino acid is attached (by aminoacyl-tRNA synthetases). tRNAs cope with the degeneracy of the genetic code in two manners: having more than one tRNA (with a specific anti-codon) for a particular amino acid; and 'wobble' base-pairing, i.e. permitting non-standard base-pairing at the 3rd anti-codon position.
Source: RNAcentral